RNAcentral lists this ribosomal RNA (494 nucleotides) under uncultured bacterium. RNAcentral's name for it is "bacterial SSU rRNA". It matches the Rfam family "Bacterial small subunit ribosomal RNA", at positions 30 to 516 of the family's 1533-position model. The record is from RNAcentral.
AUUGAACGCUGGCGGCGUGCCUAACACAUGCAAGUCGAGCGGUAACAGGUGUAGCAAUACAUGCUGACGAGCGGCGAACGGGUGAGUAAUGCUUCGGAAUCUGCCCAUGUAAUGGGGAAUAACCAGCCGAAAGGUUGGCUAAUACCGCAUACGACCUACGGGUGAAAGCAGGGGAUCGCAAGACCUUGCGCUAUUGGAUGAGCCGAAGUCGGAUUGGCNGUUGGUAGGGUAACGGCCUACCAAGGCGACGAUCCGUAGCUGGUCUGAGAGGACGACCAGCCACACUGGGACUGAGACACGGCCCAGACUCCUACGGGAGGCAGCAGUGGGGAAUAUUGGACAAUGGGGGCAACCCUGAUCCAGCGACGCCGCGUGUGUGAAGAAGGCCUGCGGGUUGUAAAGCACUUUUAGUGGGGAUGAAAAGCACAUGGCUAAUAUCCGUGUGUCUUGACCUAACCCAAAGAAAAGCACCGGCUAACUCUGUGCCAGCCGCC